UAUAUUACUGACCGUGAAAUAACCUACAGUUUGUUUUUCAGGAUUUUGUGUUAAUAUUGUGUAUUUUAACUUUGUUAUAUUAUUUAUUAUCUACUAUUGUAAUGAUGGAAUUUGUUAUCGUUUUGAUAUUUUGUGUGGUUCUUGUGAUUGCUGUAAUGGUAAUUGGUUCCGGAAUGGGGAAAGCUACUUCUUCGCAGCGUCAGAUGGACAUCAUUAACGUCGCUCAGAACUUAUAUGUUUUAAUUAGGAAAGGCGACUUGAAGAAAUGUGACGUUACGCAGACGACCGCGUUUCUUCUCAACAUCGCAAAGUCAACUGUUCUCAAGUACUACAAGAAAGACAUUGAAGAAGUUUCAACACCAGGAAAAAAGUGGAAAAAAAGGCCACAGGAAGGAAAGUCACUUGACACAGUCGACGAUUUCACAGUAAAUGCAAUCAGGAAUGCAAUUUACAGGAUGUACGCUGAAGGUUUGAAUGUUACAGUCGACACCAUUUUGAAAGAAAUCAGGGAAAGACGAAUAGAUUAUUAUGGUGGAAGAUCAAGUCUUCAUAAAUUGUUAAAGAAGAUGGGAUUUUCAUGGACAACUGUUGAUGGACGAAAAGCUUUGAUAGAGAAUGAAAACAUAGUAUUGAAGCGAAUAGAUUUCUUGAGAAAGUAUAAAGAAGAAAAAGAAAGAGGUGCCAAUUUCAUAUUUGUUGAUGAAACAUGGAUUUUCCAGAGAAGCAAGGCAUUAAUUUAUUUGAAAAUUUGUUCUGUGGUCCAAUACAAAGUAUUUCAUUUCCAUUUCAUAUAUUUUUCAGGAACUGUAUCAAAGUCAUGGCAGGACAAGAGUCUACAAUCUGAGAAGAGACGUACUGUUGGAGAUGGUAAAAGGUUUAUUGUUGUUAAUGCUGGAGGGCGCACUGGCUUUGUGCCAGGAGCAGGAUUACUUUUUGUUUCAGGUCAGAAGACUGCAGACUACCAUGGCGAGAUGAAUGGGGAAACUUUCUUGAUGUGGUUUGAAGACAUGUUGGUGCAUCUGGAGGAACCCAGUGUCAUUAUAAUGGACAAUGCUUCAUAUCACAGCACCCAGGUUGAGAAAACACCUACAACGAACUGGACCAAGGAUGCACUGAUCGCGUGGCUGGAGAAGAAUGAGAUAAAACAUGAAAAUAAUUUGUUGAAAGUGGAGCUGCUGAGAAUAGCUAAACAAAACAAGCCCCGAAUACGGUAUAUUAUUUCGUUUUUUUUACAGCAUUUCUUUAAAAGUGAGAUAGUUGCAAAAAAUUACGUAUACGCCUUGUUCUAACACACUUUUCAGAUAUGAGGUAGACGAGUUGGCUUGUAACUAUGGCCACACAAUUCUACGACUCCCACCCUAUCACUGCCACUAUAAUGCAAUCGAACUAGUUUGGGCUCAAUGUAAACACCAUUACAAUAGUAACGUGGGGCGGGCCAAGAGAUUUGACAAUGAUGCAGUUGCAGCCAUCUGGAAAGAGGCUCUUGAUGCUUCCACACCAGAGAGAUGGGCGAGGUGUGUGGAUCACGUGGAGAAGCUAAUUCAAGCAGACUGGGAGAGAGAAGUCCACAUAGACAGCGGCACCAUUCCUCCACUCAUCAUCCACCUCGGCGAGGAUAGUUCAAGUGAAGACAGUGACAGCGAAGAAUUUGAGGUUACGACACAGCAAGUAGAUGGAGACAGUGAAGUACUGGCAGUUCCUCUUGAUGAUUUACCCGGGUGUUCUUAUUGAGGUCUGUAUGUAAUAAACACCUGGGCAACUGUAAGUAUUGGGGUUUGAAACAUUUUUUUUUCUUUUAUGCAUUCCCAUUAAGUAUGUUGAUUACUGGAACUUUAUGUAUUAACUUUAUAUUACACAUAUUAUAAAAUUAAUAAUAAAUUUCAUUUCUGGAUUCGUAUAGGUGUAUGUGAAACAUUUUAUUUUGUUGUGUCUCUUCAUUUUUCAGUGAACUUACUUGGAAAACAAAAAGCCAGUCCCCAUCCAGGGCCACAAAUAAAUAAUGCAUAUAAGUGGUAUAGAAAUUACUGUCAAUUCUUUACCACAAUUUUACUGUUCAUAAAAUUAUGAUUUUGUCUAAUAAGUAUACUCAGGAAAAUGUAUAUAACCAUAUUUUUAUUUGUGGCCUUAACCGGCAAAAUGGUAGGGGUUUAAUAAUAAAAGA
RNA transcript from Bacillus rossius redtenbacheri, 2161 nucleotides. RefSeq lists it as uncharacterized. Lineage: Eukaryota; Metazoa; Arthropoda; Insecta; Phasmatodea; Bacillidae. The record is from RefSeq and is a predicted model, not a curated record. The transcript has 5 exons.